UACGUAGGGUGCAGGCGUUAAUCGGAAUUACUGGGCGUAAAGCGUGCGCAGGCGGUCUUUUAAGUCAGAUGUGAAAUCCCCGGGCUUAACCUGGGAACUGCGUUUGAAACUGGAAGGCUAGAGUGUGGCAGAGGGGGGUGGAAUUCCACGUGUAGCAGUGAAAUGCGUAGAUAUCUGGAGGAACACCGGUGGCGAAGGCGGCAUCCUGGACCGGUAUUGACGCUGAGGCGCGAAAGCCAGGGGAGCAAACGGG
This 253-nucleotide ribosomal RNA is filed under the name uncultured bacterium. Its description in RNAcentral is "partial 16S ribosomal RNA". It matches the Rfam family "Bacterial small subunit ribosomal RNA", at positions 524 to 776 of the family's 1533-position model. The record is from RNAcentral.